AGUGAACGCUGGCGGUAGGCCUAACACAUGCAAGUCGAACGGCAGCACAGUAAGAGCUUGCUCUUACGGGUGGCGAGUGGCGGACGGGUGAGGAAUACAUCGGAAUCUACUUUUUCGGGGGGGAUAACGUAGGGAAACUUACGCUAAUACCGCAUACGACCUACGGGUGAAAGCAGGGGAUAUUCGGACCUUGCGCGAUUGAAUGAGCCGAUGUCGGAUUAGAGAGUUGGCGGGGGAAAGGCCCACAAAGGCGACGUUCCGUAGCUGGUCUGAGAGGAUGAUCAGCCACACUGGAACUGGGCCACGCUCCAGACUCCUACGGGAGGCAGCAGUGGGGAAUAUUGGACAAUGGGCGCAAGCCUGAUCCAGCCAUACCGCGUGGGUGAAGAAGGCCUUCGGGUUGUAAAGCCCUUUUGUUGGGAAAGAAAAGCAGCAGGUUAAUACCCCGCUGUUCUGACGGUACCCAAAGAAUAAGCACCGGCUAACUUCGUG
This 492-nucleotide ribosomal RNA is filed under the name uncultured bacterium. RNAcentral's name for it is "partial 16S ribosomal RNA". It matches the Rfam family "Bacterial small subunit ribosomal RNA", at positions 29 to 507 of the family's 1533-position model. The record is from RNAcentral.